Molecule: ribosomal RNA, 497 nt
Filed under: uncultured bacterium
Lineage: Bacteria
Description: partial 16S ribosomal RNA
Rfam family: Bacterial small subunit ribosomal RNA
Source: RNAcentral
GAUGAACGCUGGCGGCGUGCCUAAUACAUGCCAGUCGAGCGAACAGACGAGGAGCUUGCUCCUCUGACGUUAGCGGCGGACGGGUGAGUAACACGUGGAUAACCUACCUAUAAGACUGGGAUAACUUCGGGAAACCGGAGCUAAUACCGGAUAAUAUAUUGAACAGCAUGGUUUAAUAGUGAAAGACGGUUUUGCUGUCACUUAUAGAUGGAACCGCGCCGCAUUAGCUAGUUGGUAAGGUAACGGCUUACCAAGGCAACGAUGCGUAGCCGACCUGAUAGGGUGAUCGGCCACACUGGAACUGAGACACGGUCCAGACUCCUACGGGAGGCAGCAGUAGGGAAUCUUCCGCAAUGGGCGAAAGCUUGACGGAGCAACGCCGCGUGAGUGAUGAAGGUCUUCGGAUCGUAAAACUCUGUUAUUAGGGAAGAACAAAUGUGUAAGUAACUAUGCACGUCUUGACGGUACCUAAUCAGAAAGCCACGGCUAACUACGUG